RNAcentral lists this ribosomal RNA (253 nucleotides) under uncultured bacterium. RNAcentral describes it as "partial 16S ribosomal RNA". It matches the Rfam family "Bacterial small subunit ribosomal RNA", at positions 524 to 776 of the family's 1533-position model. The record is from RNAcentral.
GACGAACCGUCCGAACGUUUUUCGGACUCACUGGGCUUAAAGGGUGCGUGGGCGGCGCGGAAAGUUGGGUGUGAAAUCCCUCGGCUCAACCGAGGAACUGCGCCCAAAACUACCGUGCUCGAGGGAGAUAGAGGUGAGCGGAACUUAGGGUGGAGCGGUGAAAUGCGUUGAUAUCCUAAGUAACACCGGUGGCGAAAGCGGCUCACUGGAUCUCUUCUGCCGCUGAGGCACGAAAGCUAGGGUAGCGAACGGG